RNAcentral lists this ribosomal RNA (277 nucleotides) under uncultured bacterium. RNAcentral describes it as "partial 16S ribosomal RNA". It matches the Rfam family "Bacterial small subunit ribosomal RNA", at positions 331 to 627 of the family's 1533-position model. The record is from RNAcentral.
UCCGACCUACGGGGGGCAGCAGUAGGGUAUAUUGCUCGAUGGGGGAAACCCUGAAGCAGCAACGCCGCGUGGAGGAUGAAGGUUUUCGGAUUGUAAACUCCUUUUGUUAGAGAAGAUAAUGACGGUAUCUAACGAAUAAGCACCGGCUAACUCCGUGCCAGCAGCCGCGGCAAUACGGAGGGUGCAAGCGUUACUCGGAAUCAAUGGGCGUAAAGAGCGCGUAGGCGGGAUAGCAAGUAAGAUGUGAAAUCCUAUGGCUUAACCAUAGAACGGCAUU